GAUGAACGCUGGCGGCGUGCCUAAUACAUGCAAGUCGAGCGAACGGACGAGGAGCUUGCUUCUCUGAUGUUAGCGGCGGACGGGUGAGUAACACGUGGAUAACCUACCUAUAAACUUGGGUAACUUUCGGAAACCGGGGCUAAUUCCCGAUAAUUUUUUUAACCCCAUUGUUCAAAUGGUAAAAACCGGCUUUCUUUCCCCUAUUGAUUGAUUCGCCCGGCAUUAGCUAGUUGGUAAGGUAACGGCUUACCAAAGCAACCAUGCAUAGCCGACCGGAGAGGGUGAUCGGCCACACUGGAACUGAGACACGGUCCAGACUCCUAAGGGAGGCAGCAGUAGGGAAUCGUCCGCAAUGGGCGAAAGCCUGACGGAGCAACGCCGCGUGAGUGAUGAAGGUCUUCGGAUCGUAAAACUCUGUUAUUAGGGAAGAACAUAUGUGUAAGUAACUGUGCACAUCUUGACGGUACCUAAUCAGAAAGCCACGGCUAACUACGUG
Molecule: ribosomal RNA, 496 nt
Filed under: uncultured bacterium
Lineage: Bacteria
Description: partial 16S ribosomal RNA
Rfam family: Bacterial small subunit ribosomal RNA
Source: RNAcentral